This is a long non-coding RNA of Homarus americanus (American lobster), 344 nucleotides long. RefSeq lists it as uncharacterized. Lineage: Eukaryota; Metazoa; Arthropoda; Malacostraca; Decapoda; Nephropidae. The record is from RefSeq and is a predicted model, not a curated record. The transcript has 3 exons.
CGUGUGUGUUGUGCCUCUCUUAGGUCGACAGCCGUGUGUGUUGUGCCUCUCUUAGGUCGACAGCCGUGUGUGUUGUGCCUCUCUUAGGUCGACAGCCGUGUGUGUUGUGCCUCUCUUAGGUCGACAGCCGUGUGUGUUGUGCCUCUCUUAGGUCGACAGCCGUGUGUGUUGUGCCUCUCUUAGGUCGACAGCCGUGUGUGUUGUGCCUCUCUUAGGUCGACAGCCGUGUGUGUUGUGCCUCUCUUAGGUCGACAGCCGUGUGUGUUGUGCCUCUCUUAGGUCGACAGCCGUGUGUGUUGUGCCUCUCUUAGGUCGACAGCCGUGUGUGUUGUGCCUCUCUUAGG